GACAGAGGGUGCAAACGUUGCUCGGAAUUACUGGGCGUAAAGCGCGUGUAGGUGGAUUGGUGUGUCAGAUGUGAAAUCCCUGGGCUCAACCCAGGAACUGCACCUGAAACUACCAGUCUUGAGUGAUGGAGAGGGAAGUGGAAUUCCUGGUGUAGAGGUGAAAUUCGUAGAUAUCAGGAGGAACACCAGUGGCGAAGGCGGCUUCCUGGACAUCAACUGACGCUGAGACGCGAAAGCGUGGGGAGCAAACAGG
RNAcentral lists this ribosomal RNA (253 nucleotides) under uncultured bacterium. Its description in RNAcentral is "partial 16S ribosomal RNA". It matches the Rfam family "Bacterial small subunit ribosomal RNA", at positions 524 to 776 of the family's 1533-position model. The record is from RNAcentral.